Molecule: ribosomal RNA, 660 nt
Filed under: Thermococcus sp. Tc70-CRC-I
Lineage: Archaea; Methanobacteriati; Methanobacteriota; Thermococci; Thermococcales; Thermococcaceae
Description: bacterial SSU rRNA
Rfam family: Archaeal small subunit ribosomal RNA
Source: RNAcentral
GGCCACUGCUAUGGGGGUCCGACUAAGCCAUGCGAGUCAUGGGGCGCGCUCUGCGCGCACCGGCGGACGGCUCAGUAACACGUCGGUAACCUACCCUCGGGAGGGGGAUAACCCCGGGAAACUGGGGCUAAUCCCCCAUAGGCCUGAGGUACUGGAAGGUCCUCAGGCCGAAAGGGGCAUCUGCCCGCCCGAGGAUGGGCCGGCGGCCGAUUAGGUAGUUGGUGGGGUAACGGCCCACCAAGCCGAAGAUCGGUACGGGCCAUGAGAGUGGGAGCCCGGAGAUGGACACUGAGACACGGGUCCAGGCCCUACGGGGCGCAGCAGGCGCGAAACCUCCGCAAUGCGGGCAACCGCGACGGGGGGACCCCCAGUGCCGUGGCAUCGCCACGGCUUUUCCGGAGUGUAAAAAGCUCCGGGAAUAAGGGCUGGGCAAGGCCGGUGGCAGCCGCCGCGGUAAUACCGGCGGCCCGAGUGGUGGCCGCUAUUAUUGGGCCUAAAGCGUCCGUAGCCGGGCCCGUAAGUCCCUGGCGAAAUCCCACGGCUCAACCGUGGGGCUUGCUGGGGAUACUGCGGGCCUUGGGACCGGGAGAGGCCGGGGGUACCCCUGGGGUAGGGGUGAAAUCCUAUAAUCCCAGGGGGACCGCCAGUGGCGAAGGCGCC